UACAGAGGGGGCAAGCGUUGUUCGGAAUUACUGGGCGUAAAGGGCGCGUAGGCGGCCUGUUAAGUCGAACGUGAAAUCCCUGGGCUCAACCCAGGAACUGCGUCCGAUACUGGCAGGCUUGAAUCCGGGAGAGGGAUGUGGAAUUCCAGGUGUAGCGGUGAAAUGCGUAGAUAUCUGGAGGAACACCGGUGGCGAAGGCGGGUUGCUGGGCCGACACUGACGCUGAGGCGCGAAAGCCAGGGGAGCGAACGGG
Molecule: ribosomal RNA, 253 nt
Filed under: uncultured bacterium
Lineage: Bacteria
Description: partial 16S ribosomal RNA
Rfam family: Bacterial small subunit ribosomal RNA
Source: RNAcentral